UACGUAGGUGGCAAAGCGUUGUCCGGAAUUAUUGGGCGUAAAGCGCUGCGCAGGCGGUUCUUUAAGUCUGAUGUGAAAGCCCACGGCUCAACCGUGGAGGGUCAUUGGAAACUGGAGAACUUGAGUACAGGAAGAGGAAAGCGGAAUUCCACGUGUAGCGGUGAAAUGCGUAGAGAUGUGGAGGAACACCAGUGGCGAAGGCGGCGUUUCUCGGUCGUGUAACUGACGCUGAGGCGCGAAAAGCGUGGGGAGCAAACAGG
Molecule: ribosomal RNA, 260 nt
Filed under: uncultured bacterium
Lineage: Bacteria
Description: partial 16S ribosomal RNA
Rfam family: Bacterial small subunit ribosomal RNA
Source: RNAcentral